ACUCGGAUAGCUCAGAAGGAAGAGCAGUUGACUUGUAAUCAAAAGGUCCCGGGUUCGAGUCCCGGUCGGAGCU
RNAcentral lists this transfer RNA (73 nucleotides) under Manduca sexta (tobacco hornworm). RNAcentral describes it as "tRNA-Thr". It matches the Rfam family "tRNA". Rfam says of the family: Transfer RNA (tRNA) molecules are approximately 80 nucleotides in length. Lineage: Eukaryota; Metazoa; Arthropoda; Insecta; Lepidoptera; Sphingidae. The record is from RNAcentral.